RNAcentral lists this transfer RNA (68 nucleotides) under Rhinebothrium sp. 1. RNAcentral describes it as "tRNA-Gly". Lineage: Eukaryota; Metazoa; Platyhelminthes; Cestoda; Rhinebothriidea; Rhinebothriidae. The record is from RNAcentral.
ACGUUGUUAGUAUAAGUUUAAAUUAUACUACUUUUCCAAAGUAGUGAUCUAGGUUGUUAGAUAACGUA